GAUGAAGAACGUAGUGAAAUGCGAUAAUUAAUGUGAAUUGCAGAAUUCAGUGAAUCAUCGAGUCUUUGAACGCACAUUGCGCCCCCUGGUAUUCCGGGGGCAUGCCUGUCCGAGCGUCAUUGCUGCCCUCAAGCACGGCUUGUGUGUUGGGCUUCCGUCCCUGGCAACGGGGACGGGCCCAAAAGGCAGUGGAGGCACCAUGUCUGGUCCUCGAGCGUAUGGGGCUUUGUCACCCGCUCCCGUAGGUCCAGCUGGCAGCUAGCCUCGCAACCAAUCUUUUUAACCAGGUUGACCUCGGAUCAGGUAGGGAUACCCGCUGAACUUAAGCAUAUCAAUAAGCGGAGGA
RNAcentral lists this unclassified non-coding RNA (346 nucleotides) under soil metagenome. RNAcentral's name for it is "partial contains 5.8S ribosomal RNA, internal transcribed spacer 2, and large subunit ribosomal RNA". The stretch from base 1 to 119 matches the Rfam family "5.8S ribosomal RNA", at positions 35 to 154 of the family's 154-position model. The record is from RNAcentral.